CCGCGGUGUGCACCAAGCAGAGCUCAGGGGGUGGUGCGCCUGGCCCCUCUGCCCCGCGCAGCCCAGCCCAGCCCAGGACCUCUUUCCUUGAAGUAAGCAUUUAUCAUGCUUCUUAAUUUAAUGCACAGUCACCACAUCAGGGCAAAGAUCUCUCCCUUGGUGACGUCCCAAGCUUUGGACGUCCUUGGUCUUGGUGGGCCAGCUAGGCUGUGGGAAGCCCAAAAGAAGUUAAAAAGCAAAAGAGGUCUUAAACAAAUGUGCCCAUCACCCUCUCAGGAGUGGAGAAUGGAAGGGAGGGAGGCGGGGCCCUGUGUCUGGCCUGUUGCUGUGAAGAGGAGAAACGAGGCCAAAGGACCUGGAUGACUAUGCAGGUGGCUCCUGCACCUGUGCCAGCUCCUGCAAAUGCAAAGAGUGCGCAUGCACCUCCUGCAAGAAGAGUGAGUACAGGACCAUCUCCAGGAAUCUGGGGGCUGGGCAGAGUCAAAGGAGGGAUCUCCACAGGCGGGAGCAGACCAAUGAUGAGCCUCCCACAUCUCCUUGCUUCAGCAAAUGACUUAGGAUCACAACUGGAAGAACACUAGAGAUGGUUAAUUCCCAAUCUUCAUUCUUACCAUGGGGAAGCUGACACCAGGUGCGCACACCAGCAUCCCAAGCACAGACCUGACACUUGAGGACUUUCCUCACUUAAGUGUAUCAUUCUGGGAGACUGUCCUUCCUUUUACUGCAAAAGGCAUGUCACUCCCUCUCCAGGCUUCUACCAUGUCCUGGGCACAGGAGGGGUGGGCAGCUUUUUCAUGGCAAGACCCUCACCCCAAAUAUUCAGGAGUUGUCUACUGACAAGCAAUGCCACCCUGAACUAAGGGUCCUUGGGGCUGGAGGCAAAGCUUGAGCCAGGCCUCUGUUGGGGCAGGGAGGUCUCUGGUUGAGUCUGCUCUGACCUCUCACUCUCCCCUUCUUCCCCAGGCUGCUGCUCCUGCUGCCCUGUGGGCUGUGCCAAGUGUGCCCAGGGCUGUGUAUGCAAAGGGGUAUCAGAGAGGUGCAGCUACUGUGCCUGAUG
This is an RNA transcript of Sapajus apella (tufted capuchin), 1057 nucleotides long. It is a transcript of the gene named metallothionein-1E-like, with no coding region annotated. The transcript is spliced from 2 exons. The record is from RefSeq and is a predicted model, not a curated record. Lineage: Eukaryota; Metazoa; Chordata; Mammalia; Primates; Cebidae.